Molecule: non-coding RNA, 309 nt
Organism: Paramuricea clavata
Lineage: Eukaryota; Metazoa; Cnidaria; Anthozoa; Malacalcyonacea; Plexauridae
Source: the annotation of a GenBank genome assembly
UGUAAUUGUCGGUGGUCAUUCUGUAGAAGUUUGUAGUCUUAUCCGCUGGUAUAUAUAAAUUGGCGUCUUUAUUGAUUGCUUCCGUGUGUUAGGACAGUUUGCGUUGGAACUCCGAGGGCCUAGGUGUUCUGAAUUCGAUGUUAUGGAUCAUAUUGCAUGGUCAUCUUGGUUUCAAACUCGUUUAGCUCAGGUACUUGUGGUGGGGGUUUCUUCGAUUUGAAUCCGUAAGUUUGCUGUUCGUUGUUUAUUGUAGAUGGUUUUAGAAAGUGGUAGGCACGCAAUCGCAUUCUGCUGAUCACGCCAUCGCAU